Molecule: ribosomal RNA, 439 nt
Filed under: uncultured bacterium
Lineage: Bacteria
Description: partial 16S ribosomal RNA
Rfam family: Bacterial small subunit ribosomal RNA
Source: RNAcentral
CUACGGGGUGCUGCAGUGAGGAAUAUUGCACAAUGGGGGGAACCCUGAUGCAGCAACGCCGCGUGGAGGAUGACGCAUUUCGGUGUGUAAACUCCUUUUAUAUGUCAAGAAAAUGACGGUAGCAUAUGAAUAAGCACCGGCUAACUCCGUGCCAGCAGCCGCGGUAAUACAGAGGGUGCAAGCGUUACUCGGAAUCACUGGGCGUAAAGGACGCGUAGGCGGGUUGGAAAGUCAGGUGUGAAAUCCUACAGCUUAACUGUAGAACUGCACUUGAAACUUCUAAUCUAGAGUAUGGGAGGGGGAGAUGGAAUUAGUGGUGUAGGGGUAAAAUCCGUAGAUAUCACUAGGAAUACCUAAAGCGAAGGCGAUCUCCUGGAUCAUUACUGACGCUAAGGCGUGAAAGCGUGGGGAGCAAACAGGAUUAGAUACCCCUGUAGUC